Molecule: ribosomal RNA, 561 nt
Filed under: uncultured bacterium
Lineage: Bacteria
Description: bacterial SSU rRNA
Rfam family: Bacterial small subunit ribosomal RNA
Source: RNAcentral
CCUACGGGAGGCAGCAGUGGGGAAUAUUGGACAAUGGGCGAAAGCCUGAUCCAGCAAUGCCGCGUGAGUGAUGAAGGCCUUCGGGUCGUAAAGCUCUUUUACCAGGGAUGAUAAUGACAGUACCUGGAGAAUAAGCUCCGGCUAACUCCGUGCCAGCAGCCGCGGUAAUACGGAGGGAGCUAGCGUUGUUCGGAAUUACUGGGCGUAAAGAGUACGUAGGCGGUUAUUCAAGUCAGAGGUGAAAGCCCGGGGCUCAACCCCGGAACUGCCUUUGAAACUAGAUAACUAGAGUCUUGGAGAGGUUAGUGGAAUUCCGAGUGUAGAGGUGAAAUUCGUAGAUAUUCGGAAGAACACCAGUGGCGAAGGCGACUAACUGGACAAGUACUGACGCUGAGGUACGAAAGCGUGGGGAGCAAACAGGAUUAGAUACCCUGGUAGUCCACGCCGUAAACGAUGAUAACUAGUUGUUCGGCCACUUGGUGACUGAGUGACGCAGCUAACGCAUUAAGUUAUCCGCCUGGGGAGUACGGUCGCAAGNUUAAAACUCAAAGGAAUUGACGG